RNAcentral lists this ribosomal RNA (372 nucleotides) under uncultured organism. RNAcentral describes it as "partial 16S ribosomal RNA". It matches the Rfam family "Bacterial small subunit ribosomal RNA", at positions 527 to 896 of the family's 1533-position model. The record is from RNAcentral.
GUAGGUGGCAAGCGUUGUCCGGAAUUAUUGGGCGUAAAGCGCGCGCAGGCGGUUCUUUAAGUCUGAUGUGAAAGCCCACGGCUCAACCGUGGAGGGUCAUUGGAAACUGGAGAACUUGAGUACAGAAGAGGAAAGCGGAAUUCCACGUGUAGCGGUGAAAUGCGUAGAGAUGUGGAGGAACACCAGUGGCGAAGGCGGCUUUCUGGUCUGUAACUGACGCUGAGGCGCGAAAGCGUGGGGAGCAAACAGGAUUAGAUACCCUGGUAGUCCACGCCGUAAACGAUGAGUGCUAGUGUUAGGGGGUUUCCGCCCCCCUUAGUGCUGCAGCUAACGCAUUAAGCACUCCGCCCUGGGAGUACGGCCGCAAGGCUG